GGUUGAUUAGUGUAGUUGGUUAUCACAUCGGAUUUUGAAACGUGUAAAAUUCCGGGGACCCGGGUUCGAAUCCCAGAUCGACCU
RNAcentral lists this transfer RNA (84 nucleotides) under Blumeria graminis f. sp. tritici. It matches the Rfam family "tRNA". From Rfam's summary of the family: Transfer RNA (tRNA) molecules are approximately 80 nucleotides in length. Their secondary structure includes four short double-helical elements and three loops (D, anti-codon, and T loops). Further hydrogen bonds mediate the characteristic L-shaped molecular structure. tRNAs have two regions of fundamental functional importance: the anti-codon, which is responsible for specific mRNA codon recognition, and the 3' end, to which the tRNAs corresponding amino acid is attached (by aminoacyl-tRNA synthetases). tRNAs cope with the degeneracy of the genetic code in two manners: having more than one tRNA (with a specific anti-codon) for a particular amino acid; and 'wobble' base-pairing, i.e. permitting non-standard base-pairing at the 3rd anti-codon position. RNAcentral also lists the same sequence under 1 other name. Lineage: Eukaryota; Fungi; Ascomycota; Leotiomycetes; Helotiales; Erysiphaceae. The record is from Rfam by way of RNAcentral.